UUGGGAGAAAGAAAAAAACAAGAUCGGCAACAGAUGUUAGCUCAGGGCCAAUCUUUAAAAAAAAAAAAGAAUCCAGAUUAUCGAAGGGCGCUCUAAAUGGGAAGGUUUGAUUACAUUUGGCCAGUAAUCAGUAAUAAUCAUAACAUUCUCUCAUCUACAUAGUCCCAGUAAUCUCAAGUGCCUUGUUUUAUUUUGAUUAUUAGUGACUUAAAUAACAACAGCUUUACUACUUGAAGAACAGGCUGUAAGUCAUGGUGAAAUUUUCUCAUUUUCUUUAUGAGACUAUUUGACUAUGUCUGUAGUGUCUGAAUCCAGUUCCUUUUUUCUAAUGUUAAAUUACACUCUCGUCUUCAGCCUCUUCUUCCCAAGCACAACUGAGGCCAAGCCAGAAUGUCAACAGAAUGAGCUUUUCCACGAUGGUGGGAGUCCAUCACCACAAAUGCUUUGCCAUGACCCAAAAAGACAAACCGUAAAUAGACAUGUUUGACAGCUUUUUCCAUCCUCAACUUGACUAGCAUUUUCCCAUUUUAUUUUUAAAUCUACAUCCACUUUUAUACACUAUAUAUCAAUUAACAUAAACUUGCAUACACUUUGUUCAUUACCAUGGUGUUAGGAAGAUUAUUAUUUUUUUCCACCUACGGAGGAACUUUUAAAAAUAUUAACUGUUCAUGACUUCAAGAGCUUUAUACUCCCUUCCCGUCCACUAUUCUCAUUACUUGUUCAUUCAAAAACGUGCGGUCUUCCUUUGGAACCCCUUGAAGUGAAGAAGGGUUUGUAUUCACCCGUCAUUUACCAUUGUUUAGCUCUAACACAAGAUUGGAAUUUUUUCACCUUUAUGAUCCAAACUUCCCCAACCUUGGCCAUAAAAGUCACACACAUUUAUUAAAGAAAACUUUGAAAAUGUAGAAAGGCAUAAAGAAGAAUAUUAAAACAACUCAUAAUCCCACCACCUAAUUUUAAAAUCUUAACAUCCUGGUGCGUUAAAGACUGUCGUGAGGCAGAGCAUUUGAAGAAAAGUUUUUAAUUAAAACAUAUAUAGUUUUUAAAAUACCUUUAAAUCCCUGAGUAUGCCUUUAAAACCAACAAACACUUUCCCUAUUACUUAUAGAAUCUAGCAGUUGGAAACGGCUGUAAAGAUACCCAGCUCAACGGCCCCCGCGGGGCCCAGGCCGUGAAGGAUUUGCGGGCCGCGCGUGGCUCCGUCAGGCUCCUGACCGCCCUCUCGCCUCCCUGCUCCUCUGCACGCCGGCAGACUCACCUCCGCUGUUCGUUUGGCAAGGUGGCUGAGGGGCUGCCCUAAGACGGGGCCCAGCGAGGGCUCUUAGCCACAGGGAGGCUGAGGAGCUACAACCAGGAGCCAAGACGCCAGGCUGGGUAGGAGCCCCCUGGGGCAGCCCCGGGGAGCAGGCUAGGGCUGUGUCUUAGUGCCUCGGGCUGCCACAACAAAGUACCACAGACUGCGGGGUGUAGACAACAGAAACCUAUUUUCUCACCCUUCUGGAGGCCAGAAGGCCUAGAUGAAGGCUUCGGCAGGGUUGGCUUCUUCCAAGGCCUCUCUCCUUGGCUUGCAGGUGGCCGUCUCCACCCUGGGCCCGCCUGGCUUAAUCUCCUCUUCUCAUAAGGACGCCAGUCACAUUAGAUGAGGGCUCUCCCUAAUGACUUUCUUUUAACUUAAUUUCUUCUUUAAAGGCCCAGUCUCCAAAUACGCUUAUAUUUUGAGGUACUGGGGGUGAGGACUUCAACAUACGAAUUUUGAAGGGAACACAAUUCAGCCCACACCAAGCUGUUUAAAGCUGCUGUUAGUCUGGCUGAAUUUUGGGAUUUGGGAUUCAAUGAACUGAAAGGUGCAAACACGGGGUGGCAAAGGAAACAACUGGCAGGUCUGAGAACCACAUGCCUAGUGUUCUCUGGAAAUCUCAGAUCCUGAGGAAAAGAGCAUGGGAUUGUGAGUCCAGAGCAUGGCGAUUUCCAACUCCGCCACCUCCUGGCUCUGAGACUUUGGGUGCGUUCCCUGUUCCUCCAGGCCGCAGUGUCCUUCUCUAGAGCAGGUGGGCCCAGCGUCCGUUUAAAAUGAACUGCUAAACUCUCGAUGAGCCCCGUAAACCAAGAAAAGCACACAACACGCAGAUUUGCUCCCCGUGAAUCACAAACCCAUCACACUCCUCCCCAGAGAUGCCCACUCCCAGCUGACGUUUGUGCCCUCCACGCGGGGCUCCCCUGAACAGACGCCCCAACCUAGCCCCCUUCUCCACUACUCGACUAGCCCAGUGGCUGGCCCCCCCUGUCCUCCGCCAAGGUCUAGGACACCCCUCCCUUCUCUGCCAGAUCGCCCAGGCUUAAGAGCCUGCUCAGAGGCAGCUCCUUCACGAGACCGUUCCCAAGCAGAGGUGGUCUCUCCUGCACUGUCUGGUUGCUUCCUCUCUUACUGCACGUUUGUCAUUCUCCCUAGCCUCACCAUUAUUUCUUUAACUAUCUACACAGACCCUCAAGUGUAAAAGAGAACUACGGUGCACUACCAUUUCUAAGGAGGGGAAAUGAGAAAAUACACAGGUGUCGGCACAGCAGUGCCAAAAGGAGCAUCAGAAGGUUACAGCAGGAACCAGUAAGACUGACUGCCUCUGGAGUGGGUAUCAACUUUUGGAACACAUCUGUUGACUCGCUUUGGUAGAAGCAUCCAGAGACCACCAAUACCCUCGAUGUCAGUCAUUGAACGAAAAGACUCCUCUUAUUUCCUACAAACACUGAAGCCUAUAAAUCCAGCAAAGAAGCCCAGAAAACAAAAAGGAAUCCAUGAAACAAACAAAGAUUAAAAAUCAAAACAAGGAAACCCACAAAAAGCAAAAGCUCUUCAGUCUAGACAUCAUGGAGAUACAUUUGAAAUAAACUUAUCACAAAGCGGGCUCUUUUCUGGUCACCUGACAUGUAAGCAAUCCCAGGCAAGCAAGUGAAUAAUUGUCUUCAAGGCUGAAUUGAACGCGUCCUUUUCCCCUCUCUGCCCGAUUCUACGUGCACCCUUCCAGGAGCUGGGUUUCACCGGGUCUCCCGCCCUCUCCCCGCACCCUGGAAGCGGAGCCAGGACCUCUGAACAGCAAGCCUCUGACAUCACUGGCAGCGGGAGGUCCACAGAAGUCUGAGGUUUCACGCCUCACUGCCCUCAAUACUGAACUCUCCCACGACGCUGUGCCCAGAAGACGUUUACUACCUAAAAGCACAGUCAGUCACCCCUCAAAGAAACACUCUUCCCACUGGACGCUGUGUCCACCACGGCUGGGACGGGGAAGCCAUACCCACCGUGGCUGACAAAAUAAAAGUGAAUCCAGCCUGAAAUGCGCCCUGCUGCCUCCUGCUCUCUUCCGCCAGGUGGUCCUUGGCAAAGGUACCUGAAGAGCCAAACACGCCCAGUUUCCCAGCCACCGGGGUGAAGAGCGAGGGUCAGGGAGGGACUGUGCCUUGCCACACAGCUAGUCUCUGUGACUGCAGCAGCUGGUUCCUCCUGUCAUCCCCCCCACCCACCCCACGGCCCUACCCGCUUCUGUUUCUAGGAACCACGGGCUGCACAGCUGGGAGGGCCUCAGUCCUCCUCUCUCCAUGCUGCAGACAAGAAAACACAAGUUUAGAGACGUUUGGCAACUUGUCCAAGUUCCUGGACUCAUUAGUGGUGGCAGAGCGGGGCCAAACCCAGGAGUGCUGGUUCCAGUCCAACCCAGACUUGCACAAGUUUGAGAUUCACAGCAAGAGAAGGAAUGUGGGGUUCCAGGCCUGGAACAGCUGCUCCUUGGGGAAAUGACAUCCCCCUACCUCUGCCUUCUCAGGCUCUCUCGUGUGUAAAAUAGAUAGUAAAUAUGGCCACAGCUCACUAAGUAAACGCUCCACUCUGGUAAUGUAUUUAAAAGUGCUUAUAGGAAUAUAAACACCACGGUACAUAGCAUUCUUCUUAAUCCCACCAAGGUCCUUUCACCUGUUUGAAGGCCCAUUAGGCCUCUGGGUCACAUGGAUUCUUCCCAGCUUGCUCUCCUCUCCUGCAGAGCCUCCCCUGGCUCUGGGGUAUUUCUAACUCACCACACAAAAAAGAGAAAGAUCUUUAUUUUGCUAUUUUUAACAGGGCCUCAAGAUACAAAGAGGUGGAAAGCUUAUUGCUAUAAACCGAGCACAGGAGAACUCGUGGCUCCUGCAAAUCUGAAGGACACUGAGAGAAUCAGCGUUCGGCAGGUGCGAUUCACGGGAAGCAGUGGGACAUAAGAUGCUCCCACACCUGACUCACGCGGAGUGCAUGCGAUGCAUCCCGGAUGUGCUGCUCCCGAAAGUCAUGACAAACACCAGGCAGAAAGCGCAGUUCUAAGACACUCAUAGUCAUGGUGAUGAGAAUAAUAACAAAAGCCGCCAUCUUUUGAGCUCUUUACUAUAUACGGUAUCUUUGGGGUAAAUGACACACUCUUGUACUUGGAACUGUCCUACAGCAAUACAGCUUUCCAGUGGCUGAAACUGGGGAAGGUGGAGACAAAGGCAUCAGUUACAGCCCAGAUGACCUGCUCCCAGGCGGGCGUGCUGUCUCUCACUUUUGUAUCUUUGUGAAUGAUUCCUGCCUGGAAUUCCUCCACUCCUACCCUAAUCCUCCACCUUGCUCCCCGGCUGCUUCUUUUAGCAAACUCCUCCCCCUCAUCUCUGGGACACCCUCCAGCAGCUCCUCUCCUAAACAAAGCCCUCUCACCCUGUGAUUUCUAAUAAAUCAGAAGUCACCUUGGGUUGUCA
Molecule: non-coding RNA, 4749 nt
Organism: Equus caballus (horse)
Lineage: Eukaryota; Metazoa; Chordata; Mammalia; Perissodactyla; Equidae
Source: RefSeq, a predicted model, not a curated record